Molecule: ribosomal RNA, 114 nt
Filed under: Phormidium uncinatum UCFM_PUB
Lineage: Bacteria; Bacillati; Cyanobacteriota; Cyanophyceae; Oscillatoriales; Oscillatoriaceae
Description: partial 16S ribosomal RNA
Rfam family: Bacterial small subunit ribosomal RNA
Source: RNAcentral
GGAAGUUGGUACUCUAACCUUUAGGGGGGGAGGAUGCCGAAGGCAGGGCUGAUGACUGGGGUGAAGUCGUAACAAGGUAGCCGUACCGGAAGGUGUGGCUGGAUCACCUCCUUU